CCGAAGCGGCCAAACCCCUGGUCGCAGUCCAGAAAUGGCCGCCGUCGCGAAGCUCUCCGUCUCCAGCCAGGCCUUCGCGGCGCUCCUCGACUGCUGCGGGACCGCCGCCGGGGACUGUGACGGGCUACUCUGCGGCCGUGCCGCCCGCCCCCCGGCCCCUCCCCCUUCCUUCUCCGACGACGACGACUCCGGCGCCACCUCCUUCGCCCCAACCCUAUCCACAUCAACGUCACCGGCCACGCCUCGCUCGCCCGACCCUCCUCCCUCUCCGACGCCCUCGGCCGCUUCCAGCCCUACUCCCCCGCUCGCCCAGCCACCGUGGGCUUCUUCUCCUCCCGCCGCAGCGCGGCGCGCCGCCCCUCCAUGCGCGAGGUCGCCGUCGCCCGCUCCCUGUCUAAAUCGUUGGCCCUCACCCACCCCCUCGUGUUUCUGCUCGUAGCCCCCUCUGCCUCCUCCAACCUCUCCAUCCACUCGUUCGACUACCGCGCCUUCCUCCUCGUGGAUUCCCGCCUCUUCCCCACCUCCCUCCAGGUCGUCAACGUGGGUCCUGGUUUUCGGGGCCAGUACCACACCUUCGCGGCCGAGUCGCCAAUGCCGUGGCUGCCGCGUCCGCCGGCAAAGGGCUUCAGCAUCGGAGACCAGAAGGCGAUGGAGGGGAUGAUGGAUGCGUUCGGGCUGGGAAGGGUGGAGGCCUUGGUGGCCUCGGCCACGGGGCAAGCAACCGAGGUGGAGGAGAUGUAUUCCGGGAUGCUAAGGAGGCUGGAGAGGCUUGCUCGGGAGUCGGAGGGGGGCAAGAAGCUGGUGCGCCGUCAGGAAGAACAUAUUGGAAAGGAGAAAAAUUGCUGGGUUGGAGUAAGGGCAGAGAUCUUGUUCUCAGCAAGCGUGUAGAGGUUCUGUAAGAGAGGUCGCAAGAUUUGAAGCCGGGAUCCUUGAACUGUAUCUUGAGUUGAAGUGCCUGCCUAUUUCCUCCUCUUUUUGGCUGGAUGGUUUCUGGACUUCCAGUGUCGCAUGUUUGUUCUUUUUGGACAGAAGAUUCAGGGGUUCAAAGGAUGCGGAGACUAGGAUAGUACUAACUGUGAAACCGUGGAUCUUUUUUUCAUGCAUGCGAAUGUGAGACGUGGCAUCAUUUCGCCACUGCCACUUGGAUAGCCGAAUGCACUAGUGUUCCAUGUUAUGCGGUUAAGCAGAUUCAAGUCCAAUUUGAUUUUGCCAUUCUAGUAUGCUUUUAUAUGCAAAAUGGAGCUGUACGUGGUGCUAGUUGGUGCCUAGUUACCGGAUCAGCGUUCGUCGAGCCAUGCUUAAAGUAGCAUGAUGGUGCUCUUUAAUAUAAUAUCGUAUGUGAAA
Molecule: RNA transcript, 1344 nt
Organism: Aegilops tauschii subsp. strangulata
Lineage: Eukaryota; Viridiplantae; Streptophyta; Magnoliopsida; Poales; Poaceae
Source: RefSeq, a predicted model, not a curated record